AGUGAACGCUGGCGGUAGGCCUAACACAUGCAAGUCGAACGGCAGCACAGUAAGAGCUUGCUCUUACGGGUGGCGAGUGGCGGACGGGUGAGGAAUACAUCGGAAUCUACUUUUUCGUGGGGGAUAACGUAGGGAAACUUACGCUAAUACCGCAUCCGACCUACGGGUGAAAGCAGGGGAUCUUCGGACCUUGCGCGAUUGAAUGAGCCGAUGUCGGAUUAGCUAGUUGGCGGGGUAAAGGCCCACCAAGGCGACGAUCCGUAGCUGGUCUGAGAGGAUGAUCAGCCACACUAGAACUGAGACACGGUCCAGACUCCUAAGGGAGGCAGCAGUGGGGAAUAUGAGGCAAUGGGCGCAAGCCUGAUCCAGCCAUACCGCGUGGGUGAAGAAGGCCUUCGGGUCGUAAAGCCCUUUUGUUGGGAAAGAAAAGCAGCAGGUUAAUACCCCGCUGUUCUGACGGUACCCAAAGAAUAAGCACCGGCUAACUUCGUG
RNAcentral lists this ribosomal RNA (492 nucleotides) under uncultured bacterium. RNAcentral describes it as "partial 16S ribosomal RNA". It matches the Rfam family "Bacterial small subunit ribosomal RNA", at positions 29 to 507 of the family's 1533-position model. The record is from RNAcentral.